Molecule: non-coding RNA, 636 nt
Organism: Pelobates cultripes (western spadefoot toad)
Lineage: Eukaryota; Metazoa; Chordata; Amphibia; Anura; Pelobatidae
Source: the annotation of a GenBank genome assembly
GCAGCAAAAGCCAUCACGUCCCAAGAGAUCACGCAGUUGAUGGUGCUGGAACAAUUCUACCAAUGUUUGUCAGAAGAUCUACAGAUCUGGGUAAGAGAUCGUAAACCCCGUACGCUGCAAGAGGCCGCUAAGUUAGCAGAUGAGCAUCAGGACACCCGGCGGGAACAGCACUCAUCUACUAGAGUGCAAUCCACGCCAAACGUUCCCCGACUUCCCCCAGUAGAUUCACCCCGACCAGGGGGGACCUACCAGUCACAACCCCCCCGGUACAACAACAGGGCAUCUAUCCGGUGCCAUACCUGUAACCAGCUUGGGCAUAUGCAACGAGACUGUCCCCGAAACCGGGCCAGGCCGGCCUGGACCCCUCCACGACCACCAACCACCCCUGGAGCCGCAGUCCACUGCUAUCAGGCCAGAGCAUUGGCUCAACCUUUCACCCCUACCCAAAUAGAGGAACCCUUGGGCACCCUCCAUGAGGUAAACCCGGUACAGGCGGCAUCCGACAAGUGGUCCACGUGGAGGGAAAGCGGAUGGAGGGAUUACGAGAUUCUGGGGCCACCAUCACUCUGAUACGGAAUCAUUUAGUGGCCCCGAACCAUCUCACUGGAGACUGUAUUGCGGUUAGGGUGGCAGGGG